Molecule: ribosomal RNA, 253 nt
Filed under: uncultured bacterium
Lineage: Bacteria
Description: partial 16S ribosomal RNA
Rfam family: Bacterial small subunit ribosomal RNA
Source: RNAcentral
UACGAAGGGGGCUAGCGUUGCUCGGAAUCACUGGGCGUAAAGCGCACGUAGGCGGCUUGUUAAGUCAGGGGUGAAAUCCUGGAGCUCAACUCCAGAACUGCCUUUGAUACUGGCGAGCUUGAGUUCGGGAGAGGUGAGUGGAACUGCGAGUGUAGAGGUGGAAUUCGUAGAUAUUAGGAGGAACACCAGUGGCGAAGGCGCCUAACUGGACGAGUACUGACGCUCAUGCACGAAAGCGUGGGGAUCAAACAGG